This 400-nucleotide ribosomal RNA is filed under the name uncultured bacterium. Its description in RNAcentral is "bacterial SSU rRNA". It matches the Rfam family "Bacterial small subunit ribosomal RNA", at positions 355 to 751 of the family's 1533-position model. The record is from RNAcentral.
UAAGGAAUAUUGGGCAAUGGGCGGAAGCCUGACCCAGCCAUGCCGCGUGAAGGAAGAAGGCGUUAUGCGUUGUAAACUUCUUUUGUAUGGGAAGAAUGACGGGGAUUUAUCCUUGGAGGGACGGUACCAUACGAAUAAGCACCGGCUAACUCCGUGCCAGCAGCCGCGGUAAUACGGAGGGUGCAAGCGUUAUCCGGAAUCACUGGGUUUAAAGGGUACGUAGGCUGUUAGUUAAGUCAUCAGUGAAAGGCCGUCGCUUAACGAUGGGAAUGCUGAUGAAACUGGCUAGCUAGAAUUGAGUUAAGGUAGUCGGAAUGGAUCAUGUAGCGGUGAAAUGCAUAGAUAUGAUUUAGAACACCGAUAGCGAAGGCAGGCUACUGAGCUUAGAUUGACGCUGAGG